This 481-nucleotide ribosomal RNA is filed under the name uncultured bacterium. RNAcentral describes it as "partial 16S ribosomal RNA". It matches the Rfam family "Bacterial small subunit ribosomal RNA", at positions 28 to 523 of the family's 1533-position model. The record is from RNAcentral.
GACGAACGCUGGCGGCGUGCCUAACACAUGCAAGUCGAACGGAGAUACGAUUUCGGUUGUAUCUUAGUGGCGAACGGGUGAGUAACGCGUGAACAACCUGACUCUCAGAGGGGGAUAACACUCGGAAACGGGUGCUAAUACCGCAUAAGACCACGACCCGGCAUCGGGAUGAGGUCAAAGGAGCAAUCCGCUGAGGGAGGGGCUCGCGUCCCAUUAGAUAGAUGGCGGGGUAACGGCCCACCAUGUCGACGAUGGGUAGCCGAGCUGAGAGGCUGAUCGGCCACACUGGAACUGAGACACGGUCCAGACUCCUACGGGAGGCAGCAGUGGGGAAUAUUGGGCAAUGGGCGCAAGCCUGACCCAGCAACGCCGCGUGAGGGAAGAAGGCCUUCGGGUUGUAAACCUCUGUCCUUGGUGACGAAACAAAUGACGGUAGCCAAGGAGGAAGCCCCGGCUAACUACGUGCCAGCCGCCGCCGUAA